UUUUUUCCUGUAGCAAUACAGGGAAAAGUCUAGUGGCGAACGGGUGCGUAACACGUGGGCAAUCUGCCUUAAAGUGGGGGAUAGCUCGGCGAAAGCCGAAUUAAUACCGCAUGUGAUCAGGGGAGACAUCUUCCCGAAAUCAAAAGUGGCGCAAGCUACUGCUUUUUGAGGAGCCCGCGGCCUAUCAGCUAGUUGGUGAGGUAACGGCUCACCAAGGCUUUGACGGGUAGCUGGUCUGAGAGGACGACCAGUCACACUGGAACUGAGACACGGUCCAGACACCUACGGGUGGCAGCAGUCGAGAAUUUUUCUCAAUGGGGGAAACCCUGAAGGAGCGACGCCGCGUGGAGGAUGAAGGUCUUCGGGUUGUAAACUCCUGUCAUUUGGGAACAAGUGCCGGUACGUAACUGCUACCGGCUUGAUAGUACCAGAAGAGGAAGAGACGGCUAACUCUGUGCCAGCAGCCGCGGUAAUACAGAGGUCUCAAGCGUUGUUCGGAUUCAUUGGGCGUAAAGGGUGUGUAGGUGGCGCCGUAAGUCGGGUGUGAAAUUUCGGAGCUUAACUCCGAAACUGCAUUCGAUACUGCCGUGCUUGAGGACUGGAGAGGAGACUGGAAUUCAUGGUGUAGCAGUGAAAUGCGUAGAGAUCAUGAGGAAGACCAGUGGCGAAGGCGGGUCUCUGGACAGUUCCUGACACUGAGACACGAAGGCCAGGGGAGCAAACGGGAUUAGAUACCCCGGUAGUCCUGGCAGUAAACGGUGCACGUUUGGUGUGGGAGGAUUCGACCCCUUCUGCGCCGGAGCUAACGCGUUAAACGUGCCGCCUGGGGAGUACGGUCGC
RNAcentral lists this ribosomal RNA (840 nucleotides) under uncultured Verrucomicrobiota bacterium. RNAcentral's name for it is "bacterial SSU rRNA". It matches the Rfam family "Bacterial small subunit ribosomal RNA", at positions 67 to 889 of the family's 1533-position model. The record is from RNAcentral. Lineage: Bacteria; Pseudomonadati; Verrucomicrobiota.